This is a long non-coding RNA of Taeniopygia guttata (zebra finch), 3455 nucleotides long. The record is from Ensembl. Lineage: Eukaryota; Metazoa; Chordata; Aves; Passeriformes; Estrildidae.
GUUUCCAAGUAGUGAGUUUUCGGAGCCCUUGGAGGAUUUGUGCCUGCUGAUCCUUGAGCACAGGUGACUGCUACUGAGCGGCGGCGACCUGGAGCUCUGUGAGGAACCUUGCCGUGGCACACUGCCACGUGCAGAGAGCACACGUGAGCACUGCUUUGCACUGCCCAUGCUGGAGCUCUGAGGGGGAGUCUGGAUGUCCUGAGAACGGAAAGCCAUUCCUGAGUGACCCCUGAAACCGGAGCUCUGAGGGGACCUCCUGCAGAGUCCUGAGCGCCGACUGGAGUGUACGUCGGAACUCGACACAGGACCCUGCUUCUGCGACAUCAAGGCACUGCUGUGCUGGAACUGCCUUGAUAAAACAGCAGACUGACUCCUGAUAUAUAGCAACAGGAACACCUGGGAACUACAUCCAGGGCAAUCUCACUGGUAACCCUCAGCUGGGCCAGGGAAUAUGGCUGAAGCUGAACUGUCGAGAGUGGGCUCAGCUGCUCCUCAGUCACAUCAGCUCUCCUGCUCAUUGCUGUGAACCCUUGUCUCAGUGGUCACCUCCUGGUCAUCCCAACAGCUGUUUCCACAGUCUGUGAUUGGCACUGGAUUUACUUUACUGAACUGGACCUAUGCAUCACUCUGGAGUUACAGCUUCCCUAUUUCCCUUGUUUUCCUCAGACAUGAAAACACCUCAAGGGACUUUGGGGACUUACAAAAUGGGGUAAGUAGAGAAGUACCAUUCUUUAAUAAGUCACACCUUUUUGUUAUGCUCCAGUGGUAUUAAAAGCCAAGAAGUCCCGUGUGAGAGAUGCUCCUGUCACUAGAAGGCUCUGAGAAGCUUAUAGGAGGCACAUCAGAAUAAAGGCAUCAGUGUAUGAGUUGUGAUGCAAUAUAUUCUUGUAAUACCUGUAAGUGGACACCAGCUCCUCUGAUUUCUGCUUACAUAUCUUCACUAUCUCCUUAUACAUCCCUCACUUUGCUGCACAGGACUUUGCUGCAAGAAAACAUCAGAUUUGUUUGUUUGUUUGUUUACAGCAUUUUCACUAUUUGCUGGGUGAAGACAUCUUACCAUAGAUCUGACAGCAAAACUGCCAAAAUGUUUUUUGUUAUAGCAUGAAAUCUUCCUUAAAUUGCUAUGUCCAGCAGUUUGUGACUGUGUGUUCAGCUGGGUACCUUCCAGAGACUGAGCAUCUCCCAAUAACAACCUAAUAUUGGCAUUCAUAUAUUCAAAAGAACAUGUGACCAGCCAAGAGCUGGGAAGUCCUCAGAGGUAAAAUCCUUCUGGUUAAAGUAGAAUAACUACUCUUCAUUCAUUUGUGUGGCUGAAAUGUACAAUGCCCCAAGGAAAAAAUUAUAAAAGUCAUUGGUGAGCAGCAAAAAAGCUUUAAGAAACCAGUCUUAGUCUCAGUUUUUCUAUUUUUUCUGUUCAUAGAUCCUAUUUUUAAAAUUUUAAAAUUAACAAAAAAAAAAAAAUCUUAGAAGCAAAUACUAAUUUUAUUAUGCUUGCACAUUAACUGCUAAUGCAAAUAUUUUCAUUUGCAGCAACUCAAAUAUUUUCAUUUGAUACACAAAAAUCAGAAGCAGCAAUAAUACUCUGAAAUAUUGGCAGUGAUUAUUUUUGUAGUCAUACAAAAUCAAGUUUUCAGCCUGGUAUUAUAAGCCUUAUUUCUGAAUCCCUAAAGUCUUGCAAGUAAAGUAAUUUUUUUUUUUUUUAAUAUUGGAUUAUACAUUGCUAUUUUUCCAAAAAAAAAAAAAAGAAACCAACUGUAAAGAAUGUUUCUUGAAAAUAACUCUUCAGACAUCCCACAAGAAAUAAGAUAAGGAAAUGGAAAUGGGAGUUUGAGCACAGGAGGUCUUGUAAGGAAGGAAGAGGCCUGUUGAGAAGAUCUCAAGACAGAAAAAUGGCACGCAAGAGAACAAACAAAUAGAAAUGUAAAGAUGCAAGAGAGGCCAUGUUUUCCUGUUGUGAUCUUGAGAUAGAGCAGAUAUUAAUCAGUCAAAACCCAUAUAAUAUUUCUUUGUGCAAUUGCAUCCAUUUUGACAAAAAUCCAAACCAGCCAACAAACCAAAAACCCAUCAGCAUGACACCUGGAAAGAUCUAAGUCAACCUUUGCGUCCCAUCUCUUUGUGCUUCGACAGAAAUAUACACAAGAUGGAAUGUGUUAUCUCUUCAGUAAAAGGGUGGACUUGGCCUGUGAGAAAGUAAAAGGUGAUAGGAACACAUCUGGAAAAGGGGGCAGCUGAGUGACAGAGUGAUGGAGAGACAAUUCACUGGAGAGAAUUAUAUGCUCACUGCAUCUAUGCAUCUUUCUCAGGUGCAUGAAUUAAGGACUUUUGCUCCCACACAUGUAGCAAAACCCCAGAGGACAACAGAGAACUUGAUUGUGCUGUGGUGUGUGCAUAUGAAAGCAGUUUUCUCACUGAUGCAAAACAUAAGGUUUUGAUAAACACUAUUUCUGGAUGUUGCAGUGCUUCCUGGUCUCUACACCAUAAGAAGCCACUUCAAACAGGCUGUUACGCAUUUCUGAACAAAACUGAUCAUCAUUUGAGCAUCAGUUCUGUCUUGAAGCUCUGUUAGAGCUUUCUGCAGCAGCAAAAGUGGUUCCUGGAGACAUACCGGAUUGUUAAACAAAAAUGUAGUUUUGAGCAGCUUCUUAGAAGUCACAUGCGAAAAAGAGCCAUUCUGCAAUGACUACUGGAAUGAACCAUAACCAGAGAUUAAGAACCAUCUAGCACUUUUCAGGGAACAUAUAGAGUUUAACAGAGAUUAAAUGUAAAGAUAUAUAUAAUACAAAAGCAUUCAUUCUGCAUGGGAUAAUUUUACCCGGUUGGAUUUUUUUUCUUUUGCUUGUUUUUUUUCUUGCUUGCUAUUCAGCAAUUAAGAUUAAUUACCUUGCAAAUACUUUUAGACCUCUCUCUACAAUGACCUACUAAGAUAUUCUAAUGGAAAGAAGAAAUGUGCCCUCAAUGCACAAGGAUCAGCCCCUUGCCUGUCAUGACAAAGAUGUCCAUUCAAACAGAAAACAGGAGAAAGCUCCAGCUGAUUAUUUUGCAUCACCAUACUCCAAGAAAUGCCAACCAAACUAACACUUACCAAAGAAUGCAGUCAGUACCUCUGGUAGAGAAAUAUAACGUUUCCCAUUUCCCCAGCCAGUUAACUUGUCUGUCUCAUGUAAGUGUGAAACCAAUGUAAGAACAUUACCUAAUUCAUAAUGCUUUGCUAAAAUACUAUGCACUAAAUGCAGGAGUAAUUUUCCACUUGAGGUUCUCUGUAGGCUUUCGUUGAUUUUUUUAACUCCAUGUAUUCCAUUUUUAGCAGCAAUAAACUAUUCAAACAAAGCUAACACAUAAAUGAUGCAGGCUUUGAGAGAAAAGUGAGUGCCACUCAAAAAAAAACCCAAACCAAACCAAAACAGAAAAUACAAAAUUAAACACUUAAAAAUCCAUAACUAAUAAUCUGUAAAUUA